Molecule: long non-coding RNA, 463 nt
Filed under: Anas platyrhynchos platyrhynchos (common mallard)
Lineage: Eukaryota; Metazoa; Chordata; Aves; Anseriformes; Anatidae
Description: lncRNA (ENSAPLG00000020004.1)
Source: RNAcentral
CAUUCUUCCCAGUGUGCCAGGGAAGGCUGACUUCAGAAGCUCCUGGUUUUCAAGAGUUGGACCACCAUGGAAGUUACAUAGUUUGCAGUAUGGAUGAGUUCUGCAGCUGGCAUUUUCUGAUGUGAAAGUCUACUGCUUCUUAAAGCAGAAGCACUAGUGAGUUUUGCAAUGCUCAAAUUAGGUACCGACUUCUCCUCUACAAUGCAGUGAAAAAAGGGAGAUCCACAGAAGCAAGCAUAAUGAGAAGAAACCCAUCUGAGAUAGUUCACCGGGAGGAAAGCUCUGGCCUUGUGUGUCCCCUGUGCCAGAAAUUAUAUAUCAGGAUGUAAGAGAGCUCUUCUCCUGACAGUCCUUGGGACAAGCUCUCUGAGAGAACAAGGGCACAAACUCCUGCAACAGACUGUGCAAGAAAACAGUAAUGGAUAAUGUGGAAGAAAGAAACAGGAGUGGCACCAGUACCGCA